This 1439-nucleotide ribosomal RNA is filed under the name Klebsiella pneumoniae. RNAcentral describes it as "bacterial SSU rRNA". It matches the Rfam family "Bacterial small subunit ribosomal RNA". Lineage: Bacteria; Pseudomonadati; Pseudomonadota; Gammaproteobacteria; Enterobacterales; Enterobacteriaceae. The record is from RNAcentral.
CAUUGGGGCAGCUACACAUGCAAGUCGAGCGGUAGCACAGAGAGCUUGCUCUCGGGUGACGAGCGGCGGACGGGUGAGUAAUGUCUGGGAAACUGCCUGAUGGAGGGGGAUAACUACUGGAAACGGUAGCUAAUACCGCAUAAUGUCGCAAGACCAAAGUGGGGGACCUUCGGGCCUCAUGCCAUCAGAUGUGCCCAGAUGGGAUUAGCUAGUAGGUGGGGUAACGGCUCACCUAGGCGACGAUCCCUAGCUGGUCUGAGAGGAUGACCAGCCACACUGGAACUGAGACACGGUCCAGACUCCUACGGGAGGCAGCAGUGGGGAAUAUUGCACAAUGGGCGCAAGCCUGAUGCAGCCAUGCCGCGUGUGUGAAGAAGGCCUUCGGGUUGUAAAGCACUUUCAGCGGGGAGGAAGGCGUUAAGGUUAAUAACCUUGGCGAUUGACGUUACCCGCAGAAGAAGCACCGGCUAACUCCGUGCCAGCAGCCGCGGUAAUACGGAGGGUGCAAGCGUUAAUCGGAAUUACUGGGCGUAAAGCGCACGCAGGCGGUCUGUCAAGUCGGAUGUGAAAUCCCCGGGCUCAACCUGGGAACUGCAUUCGAAACUGGCAGGCUAGAGUCUUGUAGAGGGGGGUAGAAUUCCAGGUGUAGCGGUGAAAUGCGUAGAGAUCUGGAGGAAUACCGGUGGCGAAGGCGGCCCCCUGGACAAAGACUGACGCUCAGGUGCGAAAGCGUGGGGAGCAAACAGGAUUAGAUACCCUGGUAGUCCACGCCGUAAACGAUGUCGAUUUGGAGGUUGUGCCCUUGAGGCGUGGCUUCCGGAGCUAACGCGUUAAAUCGACCGCCUGGGGAGUACGGCCGCAAGGUUAAAACUCAAAUGAAUUGACGGGGGCCCGCACAAGCGGUGGAGCAUGUGGUUUAAUUCGAUGCAACGCGAAGAACCUUACCUGGUCUUGACAUCCACAGAACUUUCCAGAGAUGGAUUGGUGCCUUCGGGAACUGUGAGACAGGUGCUGCAUGGCUGUCGUCAGCUCGUGUUGUGAAAUGUUGGGUUAAGUCCCGCAACGAGCGCAACCCUUAUCCUUUGUUGCCAGCGGUUAGGCCGGGAACUCAAAGGAGACUGCCAGUGAUAAACUGGAGGAAGGUGGGGAUGACGUCAAGUCAUCAUGGCCCUUACGACCAGGGCUACACACGUGCUACAAUGGCAUAUACAAAGAGAAGCGACCUCGCGAGAGCAAGCGGACCUCAUAAAGUAUGUCGUAGUCCGGAUUGGAGUCUGCAACUCGACUCCAUGAAGUCGGAAUCGCUAGUAAUCGUAGAUCAGAAUGCUACGGUGAAUACGUUCCCGGGCCUUGUACACACCGCCCGUCACACCAUGGGAGUGGGUUGCAAAAGAAGUAGGUAGCUUAACCUUCGGGAGGGCGCUACCACUUGGAUCCGG